RNAcentral lists this ribosomal RNA (495 nucleotides) under uncultured Sphingobacteriales bacterium. RNAcentral describes it as "bacterial SSU rRNA". It matches the Rfam family "Bacterial small subunit ribosomal RNA", at positions 887 to 1382 of the family's 1533-position model. The record is from RNAcentral. Lineage: Bacteria; Pseudomonadati; Bacteroidota; Sphingobacteriia; Sphingobacteriales.
GCCCGCUCAGAAACUUAAAGGAAUUGACGGGGCCCGCACAAGCGGAGGAGCAUGUGGUUUAAUUCGAUGAUACGCGAGGAACCUUACCUGGGCUCGAACGUAAGAUGACUGUAGGUGAAAGCUUACGUCUCUUCGGAGCAUUUUACGAGGUGCUGCAUGGUUGUCGUCAGCUCGUGCCGUGAGGUGUCGGGUUAAGUCCCAUAACGAGCGCAACCCCUACCUUUAGUUGCCAUCAGGUUAAGCUGGGGACUCUAAAGGAACUGCCUACGCAAGUAGUGAGGAAGGCGGGGAUGACGUCAAAUCAGCACGGCCCUUACGUCCAGGGCUACACACGUGCUACAAUGGCCGAUACAGAGGGCAGCUACCUGGUGACAGGAUGCAAAUCUACCAAAGUCGGUCUCAGUUCGGAUCGGAGUCUGCAACCCGACUCCGUGAAGUUGGAUUCGCUAGUAAUCGCGCAUCAGCCAUGGCGCGGUGAAUACGUUCCCGGGCCUU